UACGAGAGGCCCAAACGUUAUUCGGAAUUACUGGGCGUAAAGAGCGCGUAGGCGGCGCUGUACGACUGGUGUGAAAGCCCCCGGCUCAACUGGGGAGGGUCAUCGGUAACGGUAGUGCUCUGAGUGCAGGAGAGGGACGUGGAACUCCGGGAGUAGCGGUGAAAUGCGUAGAGACCCGGAGGAACACCAGUGGCGAAGGCGGCGUCCUGGUCUGCAACUGACGCUGUGGCGCGAAAGCUAGGGGAGCGAACGGG
This 254-nucleotide ribosomal RNA is filed under the name uncultured bacterium. RNAcentral's name for it is "partial 16S ribosomal RNA". It matches the Rfam family "Bacterial small subunit ribosomal RNA", at positions 524 to 776 of the family's 1533-position model. The record is from RNAcentral.